ACUGAUAAGAUGCGAGGGCUUCACCGCCUAUCAAGUCUUGAUAAACUCCGAAUGCUUAAAUAAGAAUCAGAGGAGUGAGGGCAUGGGUGCUAAGGUCCAUGUCCGAGAGGGAAAUAACCCAGACCACCGGCUAAGGUCCCGAAAUAACGGCUAAGUUGAAUUAACGAAGUAGAACUGCAGAGACAGCUAGGAUGUUGGCUUGGAAGCAGCCAUUCAUUUAAAGAGUGCGUAACAGCUCACUAGUCGAGCGAUCUGGCGUGGAUAAUAAUCGGGCAUAAACGAUCUGCCGAAGCCGCGGAUGUCGCAAGACAUGGUAGGGGAGCAUUCCAUGGGCGUCGAAGAUGAGGGAUGACCCUUGUUGGAGCGCAUGGAAAAGCAAAUGUAGGUAUGAGUAACGAUAAGGGGGGCGAGAAACCCCCCCGCCGAAAGACCAAGGUUUCCUGAUCAACGCUAAUCGGAUCAGGGUGAGUCGGGACCUAAGGCAAAGCCGAACGGCGCCGCCGAUGGAAGAAUGGGUUAAUAUUCCCAUACUGCCUCAUGGAGUGACGUGGAGACGGAGAAGUGACAGUCCUGCCGGCUGACGGAAUAGCCGGUUGAAGGGUGUAGGUGUCGAUCGCGGUAGGCAAAUCCGCCGCGAGAGCCGAACCUGAGAGUAUACGGAGCGCUUGCGCAACGUAAUAUGGACGUAACCAUGCUCCCAAGAAAAUCCGCUAAACUUAUCCAUGCGGCACCCGUACCGUAAACGGACACACGUGGUCGGGUUGAGAAUACUGAGGCGCUCGAGUGACUCACGGUUAAGGAACUAGGCAAAUUGACCCUGUAACUUCGGGAUAAAGGGUCCUCGUCGUAAGGCGAGGCGCAGAGAAUAGGUCCAGGCAACUGUUUAACAAAAACACAUGGCUGUGCCAAAUGGAAACAUGACGUAUACAGCCUGACACCUGCCCGGUGCCGGAAGGUUAAGAGGAGAUGUCAUCCGCGAGGAGAAGCGUUGAAUUGAAGCCCCGGUAAACGGCGGCCGUAACUAUAACGGUCCUAAGGUAGCGAAAUUCCUUGUCGGGUAAGUUCCGACCUGCACGAAUGGUGUAAUGAUCUGGACACUGUCUCAACCGUGAGCUCAGUGAAAUUGUAGUAUCGGUGAAGAUGCCGAUUACCCGCGAUGGGACGAAAAGACCCCGUGAACCUUUACUAUAGCUUUACAUUGAGUUUGGGCAGACGAUGUGUAGGAUAGGCCGGAGGCUUUGAAGCAGGUACGCCAGUAUUUGUGGAGCCGACGUUGAAAUACGGCCCUUCGGUUGUUUGAGUUCUAACUCCCGGACGGGAGGACACUGUAUGGUGGGUAGUUUGACUGGGGUGGUCGCCUCCAAAAGCGUAACGGAGGCUUCUAA
Molecule: ribosomal RNA, 1385 nt
Filed under: human gut metagenome
Description: bacterial LSU rRNA
Rfam family: Bacterial large subunit ribosomal RNA
Source: RNAcentral